This 73-nucleotide transfer RNA is filed under the name Stegodyphus mimosarum. It matches the Rfam family "tRNA". From Rfam's summary of the family: Transfer RNA (tRNA) molecules are approximately 80 nucleotides in length. Their secondary structure includes four short double-helical elements and three loops (D, anti-codon, and T loops). Further hydrogen bonds mediate the characteristic L-shaped molecular structure. tRNAs have two regions of fundamental functional importance: the anti-codon, which is responsible for specific mRNA codon recognition, and the 3' end, to which the tRNAs corresponding amino acid is attached (by aminoacyl-tRNA synthetases). tRNAs cope with the degeneracy of the genetic code in two manners: having more than one tRNA (with a specific anti-codon) for a particular amino acid; and 'wobble' base-pairing, i.e. permitting non-standard base-pairing at the 3rd anti-codon position. The record is from Rfam by way of RNAcentral. Lineage: Eukaryota; Metazoa; Arthropoda; Arachnida; Araneae; Eresidae.
GCUUUCGUGGUGUAGUGGUCAGCACGCUCGACGAGUAACCGAGAGGUCCGUGGUUCGAUUCCUGGCGAAGGUG